This 429-nucleotide ribosomal RNA is filed under the name Chloroflexota bacterium. RNAcentral describes it as "Chloroflexi bacterium partial 16S ribosomal RNA". It matches the Rfam family "Bacterial small subunit ribosomal RNA", at positions 355 to 776 of the family's 1533-position model. The record is from RNAcentral. Lineage: Bacteria; Bacillati; Chloroflexota.
UGGGGAAUAUUGCACAAUGGGCGCAAGCCUGAUGCAGCCAUGCCGCGUGUAUGAAGAAGGCCUUCGGGUUGUAAAGUACUUUCAGUCGGGAGGAAGGUGGUAAGGUUAAUAACCUUAUCAAUUGACGUUACCGACAGAAGAAGCACCGGCUAACUCCGUGCCAGCAGCCGCGGUAGUACGGAGGGUGCAAGCGUUAAUCGGAAUUACUGGGCGUAAAGCGCACGCAGGCGGUUGAUUGAGUCAGAUGUGAAAUCCCCGGGCUUAACCCGGGAAUUGCAUCUGAUACUGGUCAGCUAGAGUCUUGUAGAGGGGGGUAGAAUUCCAUGUGUAGCGGUGAAAUGCGUAGAGAUGUGGAGGAAUACCGGUGGCGAAGGCGGCCCCCUGGACAAAGACUGACGCUCAGGUGCGAAAGCGUGGGGAGCAAACAGG